AGAACGAACGCUGGCGGCAUGCCUAACACAUGCAAGUCGAACGAGACCUUCGGGUCUAGUGGCGCACGGGUGCGUAACGCGUGGGAACCUGCCCUUAGGUUCGGAAUAACUCAGAGAAAUUUGAGCUAAUACCGGAUAAUGUCUUCGGACCAAAGAUUUAUCGCCUAUGGAUGGGCCCGCGUAGGAUUAGCUAGUUGGUGGGGUAAAGCCUACCAAGGCGACGAUCCUUAGCUGGUCUGAGAGGAUGAUCAGCCACACUGGGACUGAGACACGGCCCAGACUCCUACGGAGGCAGCAGUGGGGAAUAUUGGACAAUGGGCGAAAGCCUGAUCCAGCAAUGCCGCGUGAGUGAUGAAGGCCUUAGGGUUGUAAAGCUCUUUUACCCGGGAUGAUAAUGACAGUACCGGAGAAUAAGCUCCGGCUAACUCCGCGCCAGCAGCCGC
Molecule: ribosomal RNA, 443 nt
Filed under: uncultured soil bacterium
Lineage: Bacteria
Description: bacterial SSU rRNA
Rfam family: Bacterial small subunit ribosomal RNA
Source: RNAcentral